UAUUAAGAAUUCCGUAAUGGUUUGAAUCCGGGAGAUUCCCGGAGGAGAUGAAAAGGGAAGCGCGGUGAGGGGAGACCCGAUUCCGCCACGGUCCCGCCGCUGUGAAGCUUCGGAAAGCAGGCAAUGAUUGAAUCGGCCCUUUCCAGGGAAAUUUCAUGAUGUCACUGGGAAACUGGGAAGACGAAAUCUCUGAGGAAGCUGAGUCAGAAGAACUGCCUUAUGGAACCGGUUUUC
RNAcentral lists this non-coding RNA (234 nucleotides) under Dialister succinatiphilus. Lineage: Bacteria; Bacillati; Bacillota; Negativicutes; Veillonellales; Veillonellaceae. The record is from RNAcentral.